RNAcentral lists this transfer RNA (111 nucleotides) under Aspergillus fijiensis CBS 313.89. Its description in RNAcentral is "tRNA-Leu". It matches the Rfam family "tRNA". From Rfam's summary of the family: Transfer RNA (tRNA) molecules are approximately 80 nucleotides in length. Their secondary structure includes four short double-helical elements and three loops (D, anti-codon, and T loops). The record is from RNAcentral. Lineage: Eukaryota; Fungi; Ascomycota; Eurotiomycetes; Eurotiales; Aspergillaceae.
GGCAAGAUGGCCGAGUUGGUCUAAGGCGUCAGGUUAAGGUUACCUUAACACAUAGCUUCACAGCUUCCUGGUCAUCGUUUGAUGGCGUGGGUUCGAAUCCCACUCUUGUCA